GGACUACACGGGUUUCUAAUCCUGUUUGCUCCCCACGCUUUCGCGCCUCAGCGUCAGAUACGGUCCAGAUGGCCGCCUUCGCCACCGGUGUUCUUCCCAAUAUCUACGAAUUUCACCUCUACACUGGGAAUUCCACCAUCCUCUCCCGUCCUCGAGCCGACCAGUCUCGAGUGCACAUCCGGGGUUGAGCCCCGGGCUUUCACACCCGACUUGGUUGGCCGCCUACGCGCCCUUUACGCCCAGUAACUCCGAACAACGCUAGCCCCCUUCGUAUUACCGCGGCUGCUGGCAC
Molecule: ribosomal RNA, 292 nt
Filed under: uncultured bacterium
Lineage: Bacteria
Description: partial 16S ribosomal RNA
Source: RNAcentral